Molecule: long non-coding RNA, 3031 nt
Filed under: Sus scrofa (pig)
Lineage: Eukaryota; Metazoa; Chordata; Mammalia; Artiodactyla; Suidae
Description: lncRNA (ENSSSCG00035040786.1)
Source: RNAcentral
UGUAUGGAAGUUCCCAGGCAUGGGGUCGAAUUGGAGCUGCAGCUGCCGGUCUACGCCUCAGCCACAGCAACACAGGAUCUUAACCCUCUGAGCAGAGCUAGGGAUCAAACCCGUAUCCUCAUGGAUACUAGUCGGGUUUCUUUCCACUGAGCCGCAAAGGAACUCCUUCAGUCUAUAAAAAUGUUGAUGGCAAGAAGCUGCAGACAAAUCUACAAAGUUAUGAGCAGAUGGAGGGGACACUAGAAAUGGCCGGGUCCUGAGAGAGCAAAGGACAGGGUCACUCAAUCUCAGGGUAACAGAGUCAGAGGAACCUGGAGUACACAAGAGUAUAGGAUAAAGGAAGAAAGAGUCACACAGUGAAUGGGAAACCUGCAGAAUUCAUUGCCUUAAGUGACUGUAACAAAGCAGAGUUAAAUUCCAGGAGGAGGAGCUCCUGUCGUGGCUCAGGGGAAACAAAUCUGACUAGGAUCCAUGAGGAUGCAGGUUUGAUCCCUGGCCUCGCUCAGCGAGUUAAGGAUCUGGCAUUGCUAUGAGCUGUGGUAAAAGAAGAUGGGAAUAAAAAUCACCUCUAAUUCCACAAGAAGAGAACCACUGUUAACACUCUGGUGCAUUUCUCUCCUUCUAUGAAUGAAAUUUAGCAGAGUCGAGGGCAUACUGUGAAUAUAAUUUCAAUUCCUGCCUUUUUCCAGUAAAGUUCCAUUGUGUUCUAAGAAAGAAGUUCACCCUUAGUGAAUAAACAAAUUAAGUAACGAAAUGAAUAAAAGAAACCCUUCAUGAAGUUAACAAAACAAAACUGAUUAUUCCACUGAGUCCCCACUUCCUCAGCAAAAGAAGAAGAAAAAAAAAUCACUCUUGUUCAGACAAAAAUGGCCUAUAAGAUAGAAACAUUAAAUUUAUUGUGUCCUCCUUGUUGUCAUCAAAUAAGCUCGUUGUGGCUCAGCAGUACUAGCUCAACUAGUCUCCAUGAGGAUGUGGGUUCAAUCGCUGGCCUCGUUCAGUGGGUUAAGGAUCCGACAUUGCCAUGAGCUGUGGUGUAGGUAACAGACGUGGCUCAGAUCCCUCAUUGCUGUGGCUGUGGUGUAGGCUGGCAACUGCAGCUCCAAUUGGACACCUAGGCUGGAAACUUUCAUAUGCCAAGAAUGCGGCCCUUAAAAAAAAAAAGAAAAGAAAGAAAGAAAACCCAUAGUUUUUCAAAUCAACAGAAGAUUUUAUAACUGUAUCUUAUCAUGAAACAAAAAAAUCAAGUUUUAUUGGUCUUGGGGUGAUUUUAUCUUCCAAUCUGCAGGUGAGCCAAACCAUUUAAAAAUGAUUAGUUCACACUCACAGACCAUGACAUCCAAAUCAAAGUCUUAUUUCCACUUUUGUUAUAUUCUGUGACCUAAUCUGUGCAGUAAGCAAAUGGCAUUGCCAAGGACAUAUUCUGUGUCAUGUGCUACCCAGCUGGGAGUUGCCCUGAUGUCUGCCUGCAUCCUGGUGGAGUACUUGGUUUUACAGGUAGGCCCAAGGCCUUGGCUAGUAGAGAGAAGAACUUUUCUUUCUGCUAGUAGGGAAGACUACUCAGGAUCAAGAUUUCUUUAGCAAGAUGCUUUUUUUCUCCCCCCACCUCUCAUACUAGUUCAUACUUCAUUGAACAAAUGUGUCCAGGCCAGGCACUGGGCUGGGUGCUGGGGACACAAAGGGGAAUAACACAGAUGCCGUGCCCUCUACUUCCACAGUGCUGCAGUUUGCCGAGCACCUCCCCAUCCAUUCUCCUGGAAGAGAGAAAGACCACCACCACUGUUUCCACAUUCUAGAUGGUAAACACUCACUGGAGUAUUUUGCCCCAGGUUAUGUAGUGGAAGCACUAGACUCCAAUCUCGUCCAGUGCGCUUGCUAUUGGUGAAUUUCCUCUUAUUGUCAACUGAGGUCUUCUCAAUUAUUUAUAUUCCCUCCAGCACCUGGGUUCCACCUGGUUGCCCAGUUUCUGAGCUAAGAGUUGCCCUGACCUCUAGAUAGCUGCAUAUAUCCUGGUUUCUGGGUGCCUUCCUAGAUUCGGGCCCUGGACUCAAGUAUCUUCCCAGCUUUUCCAACACAAGCGUCAAACCCUAUUUAUUCCUUUCCACAAGGUAGCUCGUUGCUAGCCUCCCCCAGUGUUCAAUCUCCUUUUCACUCUGAAAAACAGAUUUUACCUCCCAACUAUUUCCCAGCUUCCUUUGCAGCUAAAUGUAGCCACAUGACUACGUUCUGGCCACUGGGAUAAAAGAAUGUGCUACUUCUAGGUCUUGCCCUUGAAAUGACUGCAUGCAUGACUCCCUGAUCCUUCCCCUGGGAGAUGGUAAACACUGAAGUUUCCACCUUCAACCACCAAGUGGAAACCACAUGUGGAAGAUACAAGGCUGGGACCACUAUCUACUCUAAACCAGUACAUGAAAAAGAAAUCAGCUUCCACCUGAUUUCAGCCAGAGUUUCUAUGGCUCUCCCUAAGACAGGAAUUUGCUCUACGUCCCAGCUAAUACAAACUUAAGUGGGACCAGUUCCACAUUCUCUUAGCAAAGCCCCUUGCCGCCAAUUAAAUACCUUGGGGGGGGGGGUUGUUCAAAACUAUAUGAGAAAGCAUUCCAUUCUGAUUUAUGUCAUGGAAAACUUUUCAAAAAUGAAAUUACCAGGAUCUCAAAGACGACUUAUGUUCACGUCACAGGAAAAACUGAGAGGGCCCAGAAAUGCAAACCAGCCUCCUGCAGUAAGAGCAAGGGAGAAAGCUCUAGGUGAAAAGGGCACCACGUCCACUCUCCGACAGCAGUUCACUCUAUUCCUAGAAAAGGCACUGAGAGCUGAAAUCGUGCGAACCAAGGCUAAUUUCUCCAUGGAAACAAGGCGAUAAUAAGAGCUUGUGUUUCGAACCGAGAACUUGAUGGUCAACUUUUUAAAGAAAUUACGUCAACUCCAUGUUUUACCAUCUAUUCAAGCCUUGAGACUUUUAAAGCAUAAGGGCUGCUGGUCCAAUAAUAUCCCACAGAAGAUCUAUGUGUAUUCUCUACCAUAAAGGUAGGUG